UACAGAGGUCCCGAGCGUUGUUCGGAUUCACUGGGCGUAAAGGGUGCGUAGGUGGCGAGGUAAGUCGGAUGUGAAAGCUCGGAGCUCAACUCCGAAAUGGCAUUGGAAACUACCUUGCUCGAGGGUUGGAGGGGGGACUGGAAUACUUGGUGUAGCAGUGAAAUGCGUAGAUAUCAAGUGGAACACCAGUGGCGAAGGCGAGUCCCUGGACAACUCCUGACACUGAGGCACGAAGGCUAGGGGAGCAAACAGG
This 253-nucleotide ribosomal RNA is filed under the name uncultured bacterium. RNAcentral describes it as "partial 16S ribosomal RNA". It matches the Rfam family "Bacterial small subunit ribosomal RNA", at positions 524 to 776 of the family's 1533-position model. The record is from RNAcentral.